RNAcentral lists this ribosomal RNA (395 nucleotides) under uncultured bacterium. RNAcentral describes it as "partial 16S ribosomal RNA". It matches the Rfam family "Bacterial small subunit ribosomal RNA", at positions 523 to 918 of the family's 1533-position model. The record is from RNAcentral.
AUGCGUAGGGUGCAAGCGUUAAUCGGAAUUACUGGGCGUAAAGCGUGCGCAGGCGGUUUUGUAAGACAGUGGUGAAAUCCCCGGGCUCAACCUGGGAACUGCCAUUGUGACUGCAAGGCUGGAGUGCGGCAGAGGGGGAUGGAAUUUCGCGUGUAGCAGUGAAAUGCGUAGAUAUGCGGAGGAACACCGAUGGCGAAGGCAAUCCCCUGGGCCUGCACUGACGCUCAUGCACGAAAGCGUGGGGAGCAAACAGGAUUAGAUACCCUGGUAGUCCACGCCCUAAACAAUGUCAACUGGUUGUUGGGGAUUUAUUUUCUCAGUAACGAAGCUAACGCGUGAAGUUGACCGCCUGGGGAGUACGGCCGCAAGGUUAAAACUCAAAGGAAUUGACGGGG